AUACGUAGGUGGCAAGCGUUGUCCGGAAUUACUGGGUGUAAAGGGAGCGCAGGCGGGGGAGCAAGUCAGCUGUGAAAUGCAUGGGCUUAACCGAUGAACUGCAGUUGAAACUGUUCUUCUUGAGUGAAGUAGAGGUUGGCGGAAUUCCGAGUGUAGCGGUGAAAUGCGUAGAUAUUCGGAGGAACACCGGUGGCGAAGGCGGCCAACUGGGCUUUUACUGACGCUGAGGCUCGAAAGUGUGGGGAGCAAACAGGAUUAGAUACCCUGGUAGUCCACACUGUAAACGAUGAUUGCUAGGUGUGGGGGGUCUGACCCCUUCUGUGCCGCAGCUAACGCAAUAAGCAAUCCACCUGGGGAGUACGGCCGCAAGGCUGAAACUCAAAGGAAUUGACGGGG
This 396-nucleotide ribosomal RNA is filed under the name uncultured bacterium. RNAcentral describes it as "partial 16S ribosomal RNA". It matches the Rfam family "Bacterial small subunit ribosomal RNA", at positions 523 to 918 of the family's 1533-position model. The record is from RNAcentral.